This 409-nucleotide long non-coding RNA is filed under the name Vulpes vulpes (red fox). Its description in RNAcentral is "lncRNA (ENSVVUG00000010801.1)". The record is from RNAcentral. Lineage: Eukaryota; Metazoa; Chordata; Mammalia; Carnivora; Canidae.
AUGAAAAUUCAGGCAGAUUCAACAGUGGGCUUCAGACUCACCUCUAAGAGCUUGCCUGCAGUAAGAGCACAAGAAUCAGGAGUGGAUUGGGUUUACUAUCUUACCCAGUCCAGCAUUCGAAGAUAUGGACCCCAAGAGAUGUGUUUCUGGAAGAUGGAUGUGUUUGACUCCAUGAGCAUCCCCUAUAAAGGAACUUUGCAAAGUGUGAGAAUUGGUUUGUAGUCUGAAGGGCCCCUGAGUCUGUGAGCCGUGUGGUUCUGCCAAGAUUGCCCAGCCUGCCAAACUCUCAGCUGCCAAAAGACUAGCCAGGGCUUCCUUGUAUAAUGAAAGUACAAAAAAGGCCAUGUGCUUGGCGGACUUGCCUGAUUCCCUCUGCUUCAUAGAGAAAAUAAAUCUCUGAAGAAGUCCA